This 468-nucleotide ribosomal RNA is filed under the name uncultured bacterium. RNAcentral describes it as "partial 16S ribosomal RNA". It matches the Rfam family "Bacterial small subunit ribosomal RNA", at positions 28 to 507 of the family's 1533-position model. The record is from RNAcentral.
GACGAACGCUGGCGGCGUGCUUAACACAUGCAAGUCGAACGGAAAGGCCCUGCUUUUGUGGGGUGCUCGAGUGGCGAACGGGUGAGUAACACGUGAGUAACCUGCCCUUGACUUUGGGAUAACUUCAGGAAACUGGGGCUAAUACCGGAUAGGAGCUCCUGCUGCAUGGUGGGGGUUGGAAAGUUUCGGCGGUUGGGGAUGGACUCGCGGCUUAUCAGCUUGUUGGUGGGGUAGUGGCUUACCAAGGCUUUGACGGGUAGCCGGCCUGAGAGGGGGACCGGGCACAUGGGGACUGAGAGACGGCGCAGAAUGCUACGGGAGGCAGCAGGGGGGAAUAUGGCACAAUGGGCGGAAGCCAGAUGCAGCAACGCCGGGUGCGGGAUGACGGCCUUCGGGGGGUAAACCGCUUUGGCCGGUGACGAAGCGGGAGUGACGGUAAUGGGUAAAGAAGCACCGGCUAACUACGUG